Molecule: ribosomal RNA, 258 nt
Filed under: uncultured bacterium
Lineage: Bacteria
Description: partial 16S ribosomal RNA
Rfam family: Bacterial small subunit ribosomal RNA
Source: RNAcentral
AAUCAACGCUGGCGGCGCGCCUAACACAUGCAAGUCGAACGAGAAAGUGGAGCAAUCCAUGAGUAAAGUGGCGUACGGGUGAGUAACACGUGGAUAAUCUGCCCUUUAGUGGGAGUACGUUGGAACGACGACAAUACGCAUAAGCUCGAGAGAGGAAAGGACAGCAAUGCGCUGAAGGAGGAGUCCGCGGUCGAUUAGCUAGUUGGUGAGGUAAUGGCNCACCAAGGCUGUGAUCGAUAGCCGGCCUGAGAGGGCGAC